AAUAAUAAAUCACUCAUAUAGUGAGGAGGGGUUGGGUGGACAGGGAGAUCGAGCGAGGGGAGGGGAGAGAGGUAACAGGGGUGAGGGAGAGGGGUAGGAGAUGUGGGAGGGUGAUAGGGGGAGGGAUGACAGUAUGAAGUGAGAUGAGAGGAAUGGAGUUAGAGAUGGGGAGGUGGGUGAGGGUUUGAGGAGAGGGGUUUGUGCUUCGGGAAUUUACCAGUUCAUGGCUGUGUCACUUUCCCAGAUGUUGGGUUAAGUCCCGUAACGAGCGCAACCCUUUCCUUUGUUACCAGCACGUAUGGUGGGCACUCUAGGAGACUGCCGGUGAAAACCGGAGGAAGGUGGGGAUGACGUCAAGUCAUCAUGGCCCUUACGGCCUGGGUACACACGUGCUACAAUGGUCGUACAGAGGGUUCCAAUCGCGAGGAGGUAAUCUCAAAACCCAUGGUAUUCCGGAUGCUUCUCCAAGCUCGAUUAGUGGUAUCAGGGUAAGCAAGUAUGGACUCAUUUUUCUCCGGGUCGUAACGUGUAACCAGGGUAACCCAGUACUGGAUCCCUCCUAGGAGUUUGAUCCCCUGGCCUCCAGGAAGGUGUAACCAAGGGUAACCCCAGUAUUGAUUCCCCG
Molecule: ribosomal RNA, 625 nt
Filed under: Pseudomonas sp. RHIZO-2
Lineage: Bacteria; Pseudomonadati; Pseudomonadota; Gammaproteobacteria; Pseudomonadales; Pseudomonadaceae
Description: partial 16S ribosomal RNA
Rfam family: Bacterial small subunit ribosomal RNA (bases 223-364)
Source: RNAcentral